RNAcentral lists this ribosomal RNA (245 nucleotides) under uncultured bacterium. RNAcentral describes it as "partial 16S ribosomal RNA". It matches the Rfam family "Bacterial small subunit ribosomal RNA", at positions 524 to 768 of the family's 1533-position model. The record is from RNAcentral.
UACGAAGGGGGCUAGCGUUGUUCGGAAUUACUGGGCGUAAAGCGCGUGUAGGCGGGUCCUUAAGUCAGGGGUGAAAUGCCGGAGCUCAACUUCGGUACUGCCUUUGAUACUGGGGAUCUUGAGUCCGGGAGAGGUGAGUGGAACUGCGAGUGUAGAGGUGAAAUUCGUAGAUAUUCGCAAGAACACCAGUGGCGAAGGCGGCUCACUGGCCCGGAACUGACGCUGAGACGCGAAAGCGUGGGGAG